GUCCCUUCGGGACAUCCGAUAAAUUUGGAACGAUACAAAGAAGAUUAAUAUGGUCUCUGCGCAAGGAUGACCAGCAGAGAAUUAAUUUCUAGUUAAUUAAU
Small nuclear RNA from Juglans microcarpa x Juglans regia, 101 nucleotides. The record is from RefSeq and is a predicted model, not a curated record. NCBI's taxonomy places the organism in Eukaryota, Viridiplantae, Streptophyta, Magnoliopsida, Fagales, Juglandaceae.